UACGUAGGGGGCGAGCGUUGUCCGAAGUUACUGGGCGUAAAGCGCACGUAGGCGGCGGGGUCAGUUACAUCUGAAAGAUGACAGCUCAACUGUCAAUGGGGGUGUAAGACUAUCUCGCUUGAGGCAAGCAGAAGAGUGUGGAACUCCGAGUGUAGCGGUGGAAUGCGUAGAGAUUCGGAAGAACACCCAUGGCGAAGGCAGCACUCUGGGCUUGACCUGACGCUGAGGAGCGAAAGCCAGGGGAGCGAACGGG
RNAcentral lists this ribosomal RNA (253 nucleotides) under uncultured bacterium. RNAcentral's name for it is "partial 16S ribosomal RNA". It matches the Rfam family "Bacterial small subunit ribosomal RNA", at positions 524 to 776 of the family's 1533-position model. The record is from RNAcentral.